Molecule: long non-coding RNA, 303 nt
Organism: Gasterosteus aculeatus aculeatus (three-spined stickleback)
Lineage: Eukaryota; Metazoa; Chordata; Actinopteri; Perciformes; Gasterosteidae
Source: Ensembl
ACUCAGAUGUGGUCUUAAACUACUCAGAUUUAGUUUUAAACUACUCAGAUGUGGUCUUAAAAUACUCAGAUUUAGUUCUAAACUACUCAGAUGUGGUCUUAAACUAAUUGGAUUUAGUUUUAAACUACUCAGAUGUGGUCUUAAAAUACUCAGAUUUAGUUCUAAACUACUUGGAUGUGGUCUUAAACUACUUGGAUCUAGUUCUAAACUACUCAGAUGUGGUCUUAAACUACUCAGAUUUAGUUUUAAACUACUCAGAUGUGGUCUUAAAAUACUCAGAUUUAGUUCUAAACUACUUGGAUG